UUUCUUGGACUGCGGAGUUUCCACUCCUUUUUUGUUUGUUUGCUUGGUUGGUUUGUUUUCAUGCAGUGUCUUUUGUGAUCACAUUAUGUUUCAUGACACGUCACUGAAAUAUGAACAGUGAAGAUGGUGAUACUUAGAAGGAAUGUAGCAGUAGGAGUGUUCCAAUUUUGUUUUUAAGAUGAGGCCUUUCAUAAUGUUUUAGUGAACAUCAGUGCUUCAAGUCCAGAAGGGCAAGAGGAGAUGAGGUUAUAGAGCAAACAGCUGCACUGCUGCUCCUGGAGGGAGACGGGGGAGAGCUGUAGCUGCUAUAUGGAGACAGGUACCAUAGCACACAUUUUAUGCCAAGACAGCAAAGGUGUUGACAAGUCAAUGAAAGAAGUGUGAAAGCAGGCUGAACAGCUCUUGCAACUGCCACUGAAUGUCUAUGCAAACCUCCAGGAUUUUGGUCAGGUGUACAAUACAAGCAGGACGUGAGCAAGAUGAGUAUGGAAAAAAAACCACGGUCAGAGGAAAUGCACCCAGAUGAAGACUGGAAUCAAAGGAGCAGCAUUGUCGAUAAACCCUCUCAAGGGUGGCUGCACUUGAGUGAGAAGAUCCUGGGACCUGGUGUGACGUACACUGUGAAGGAUGUAUCCUCCUGUGAAGGAGCAGGGCUGCUCUGUGUGGCAGAGGGACUGUAGGAAUGCGUCCUUGCAAGGCUGGUGGCCUCCAGCCUCUGCUCUGCUCUGCCGGGAGUCAUCAUGCCCACUGACUUUCCAGGAGUCCUCAAGGCCUCCCUGCUGCCUGUAGAGACUUAUCAUGCUUUAAAUCUGGUCUGUGAUGCCUCUAACCUUCCCUUCUCUGUUCUGCAUGCUGGGCCAUAUUUUGGGCACUCUUUCUGCAAACACAAGAAAUUAUAACUUAAAUUCAAGAAAGCUGAAGAUUGACGAAGAUUCAGGAAAAACAUAUAUUAACUGCUAGACUCCUGUGAUGAAAACCUGUAGCAUUUAUCUAAGAAUAUCUAAGGGCUUUCCCUCUCUCUGUCUAUUUUNGACUGAUAGAGUGAUUUUAAGUGUUCAUGUUGCCAGAGAGUCAAACACAUAUAAUAAAAAAG
RNAcentral lists this long non-coding RNA (1093 nucleotides) under Pavo cristatus (Indian peafowl). RNAcentral describes it as "lncRNA (ENSPSTG00000007369.1)". The record is from RNAcentral. Lineage: Eukaryota; Metazoa; Chordata; Aves; Galliformes; Phasianidae.